AUGCCAAAUCGUCCGCCGGCUGCGCCCUGCUCCAUUGCCGGCCGCACCGGGUUUAACCAUUUUUAAUGGGUCUGCUAUAGAUGCUCUAAGAGCAUCUAGAGCCGGACUUGGUAAAUCCGAACACUUAAACACGCGCGUAUGCGUCCGGAUACAUCCACGGACACUGACCGGUCAAGACUUUAAUUUUUCUUCUCACACU
Molecule: long non-coding RNA, 199 nt
Filed under: Hordeum vulgare
Lineage: Eukaryota; Viridiplantae; Streptophyta; Magnoliopsida; Poales; Poaceae
Description: long non-coding RNA (HVUL_LNC000006)
Source: RNAcentral